CCUAGAUCAACUAAAUCUGUCAGAAAAAAAGUACAAAAUAAAUAAAAAAUGGAAGAAAAUGUCUGGCCUGAUCAAAUAAACUGAAAAAAGAAGAGCUGGAAGUAAAAUGAUUUUUCUUCAAAGAAUGGGCUCCCUUUUUUUCUCCAAUGGGGACACAAUUGCCCUUUGAACAAAGUAAUCAUCUGGGCAUUCACCUCAGGCGUCUCUUCUAGCACAGAAUAUUAUUCCCUUAUGCUCCUCUAAAGCAUUUCCCCCUGUUCUAUUCAGUUUCUUACCUGGGAUGAGGAACACAUUCUGCAAGUGUCCGUUUCAUCUAUAAUAUCAAAGCAGGGAAACCUUUGCAACAGGAAACACCCUGCUGAGAUCGAAUAAUAAAGUUGCAAAUUAUAGGUUUGGAUGCUAGGCCCUGUCUCUCAGCCUUUGUGAAUCUCCACCUUUAUCAAGGUGGCAGCUGGGGAUCAUGUAACAAUUUAACUGGAUGUGAGAGGGCUGGAGAGAGCUGUGAAAGGCCAGAGGAGAGAAAGGUGUACCAUCAUGAGGACACAUAGAGUAGAGAAGGUAUAACACUGGGAGACAGCAUAGAGGGGAGAAGGGUGUGCCAACAGGAGGCGACAAAAAGGGGAGAAGAUGUAUCAUUAAGAGGCAACAUGGAGAGGCGAAGGUUUACAAUCAAGAGGCAACACAGAGGAAAGAAGGUGUGACAUCAAGAGCCAACAUAAAGGGGAGAGGGUGUGUCAAGAAGAGGCAAUAUAGAGGGGAAGAAGGUAUGUCAUAAAGAGGCAAUAUGGAGGGGAGAAUUUGUGCCAUCAAGAUAAAACAUGGUGGGGAGAGGAUGUGACAAUCAAGAAGAAGCACAGAGAGGAGAGGGUGUGCCAUCAAGACUCAACACAGAGGAGAAAGUGUGGACCACCAAGAGGUAACAUGGAGGGCAGAAGGGUGUGCCAUCGAGAGACAACCUGGAGUGGAGAGGGUGUAACAUCAAGAAGCAACAUUUAAAAAAAAAGAAAAGUGUACCAUCAAGAAACAACAGGGAAAGAAGUAGUGCAUACCUUAAAGAGGCAACAUAAAGGCAAAAGAGUGUGUCAACAAGAGACAACAUAGAAAAGAAAAGGGUGUACCGUCAAGAGGCAACAUGAAGGGGAGAAUGGUGUGCCAACAAGAGGGAACAUGGAGGGGAGAGAGUAGAUCGUCACGAGGUAAUUAGGAAGGGAGAAGUGUGUGCCAUUAACAGGCAACAUGGAGGUGAGGGUGAGUACCAUCCAGAGGCAACAUAGAGAAGUGUGUACCACUAGAGGCAACUUAGAGGAGAGCUGGUGUACCACGAGAGACAAGAUGAAAGGGAGAAGUUUGUACCAUCAAGAGGAAACAUGGAGAGAGGAGAGCAUACCAUCAGGAGGCAACAUGGAAAAGAGUGACUGUACCAUCACGAGGAACAUGGAUGGGAAAAGAUGCACCAUCAAGAGGCAAGAUGGAAGGGAAAAGGAUCUACCAUUGAGAGAUAACACGGAGGGGACAUUGUGUACCAUCAAGAGAUAACAUGGAGCAGAGCAGAUGUGCCAUCAUCAAGAGGCAUAAUGGAGGAGAAAAGGAUGUUCCAUCAAGAGGCAACAUAGAAGGGAGAAGGCUGUAUCAUCAAUAGGCACCAUAGAAGGCAGAAGAGGGUACCAUCAAGAGGCAACACCAAGAAUAGAAGGGUGUUUCAUCGACAGGGAGGGAAAAAGGUGUACCAUCAAGAGGCAACACGGAGGAGAUAGGGUGUAUCAUUAAGAAGAACGUGGAGAGAGGAACAUGUAACAUCAAGAUGCAACACAGAGGGAAGAAAGAUGUACCAUAAAGAGGCAACACGGAGGGGAGAAAAGUGUUGCAUUAAGAGAUAACAUGGACUGCAGAGGGUGUGCCAUCCUGUGGCAACAUAGUGAGAAGAAGGGUUUAUCAUCAACAGGCAAGACGGAGAGGAGAAGGGUAUGCCAUCAAGAGGCAACAAAGCAAAGAGAACAUGGCUUAAAUAGGCAACUGGCAAGGGAGAGGGUAUACCAACAAGAGGCAACACAGAGAAAAGUAUACCACCAAGAGACAACAGGGAGGGGAUAGUGUGUGCCGUGAAGAGGCAACAUGGAGUGGGGGAUGUUGUGGCAUCAUUAAUAGGAAACAUGGUGGAGAGAGGUUGUGUAAUCAAGAGGAAAUAUGGUGGGGAGAGAUUGCGUUAUCAAGAGGCAAUGAGGAAGGGAAAAGUGUGUACCAUUAGGAGGUGUAUUCAUCCAUUCUCACACUGCUAUAAAGACAUAUCCAAGACUGGGUAAUUUAUAAAGGAAAGGGUUUUAAUUGACUUAGUUCUGCAUGGCUGGGGAGGCCUCAGGAAACUUACAAUCAUGGUGGAGGGUGAGAGAGAAGCAAAGGCCUGUCUUACAUGGUGGCAGGCGAGAGAGAGUGGUGAGCAAAGCAGGGAGAGCCCCUUAUAAAGUGCCAUCAGAUCUCAUGAGAACUCACUCAGUAUCAUGAGAACAGCAUGGGGGAAACUGCCCCCAUGAUCCAAUCACCUCCUACCAGGCCUCUCCCUUGACAAGUGGGGAUUACAAUUCUAGAAGAGAUUUGGAUAGGGACACAAAGCCAAACCAUAUCAGGAGGCAACAUAGACGGGAAAGGGUUGCACAUCUAGAGGCAACAAAAGGGGAGAUUGUAUAACAUAAAGAGAGGCAACAUAGUAGAAGAGUGUAUCAUAAACAGGCAACAUGGAGGAAAGAAGGAUGUGCUAUUAAGAGGCCGCCUGGAGGGGAGAAGGGUGUCCAUCAGGAGCCAAUAUGAAGGAGGGGGUGUAUGAUCAAGAGUCAGCAUGGAGGCAAGAGAUUGUGCCAUUAGAGACAACAUGGAGGUGAGAAGGGCCUACCACGAGUAGGCAACAUGAAAGAGACAAAGUUGUAUCAUCAAGAGGCAACAUGGAGAGGAUAAGGUGUACCAUCAAGGAGGCAAAAAAGAGAGGAAAGCAUUUACUAUCAAGAGGCAAUAUGGAGGUUAGAGGGCGUACCAACAAGAGGCAACAUGGAGAAGAGAAGGGUGUGCCAUCAAGAGGCAACUGGGAAAUGAAGGAAUGGCGUAAUCAGGCAACAGGCAAAGAGAUUGUACCAUUAAGAGGCAACAUGGAGAAGAGAAGGUUAUACCACCAAGAGGCAACCAAGAGGGAAUAGUGUGUGCCACAAAGAGGUGACACAGAGCGGGGAAUGUUGUGGCAUCAACAGGCAACAUGAAGAGGAGAGUUGAUGUCAUUAUGAGGCAAUAUAGAGGGAAGAGGUGUGUACCCUCAAGAGGCUACAUGAAGAUGAGAGGGUUGUAUCAAGAGAGGCUACAAGAAAGAGAGAAGGGUGUUCCAAGAAGAGUUAACAUAUAGGAGUGAGGGUGUGCCAUCAAGAGGAACCAUGGAGGGGAGAAUUUAUACCACCAAAAGGCAACACAGAGGGGAGUAGGUGUACCACCAAAAGGGAACACAAAAGGAAGAGAGUAUGCCACAAGAGGCAACAUGGAGCAGAGAGGGUGUGCCACGAAGAGGCAACAUGGAAGGGAG
Molecule: long non-coding RNA, 3556 nt
Filed under: Homo sapiens (human)
Lineage: Eukaryota; Metazoa; Chordata; Mammalia; Primates; Hominidae
Description: HSALNT0048386
Source: RNAcentral